Long non-coding RNA from Labeo rohita (rohu), 275 nucleotides. RefSeq lists it as uncharacterized. NCBI's taxonomy places the organism in Eukaryota, Metazoa, Chordata, Actinopteri, Cypriniformes, Cyprinidae. The transcript is spliced from 3 exons. The record is from RefSeq and is a predicted model, not a curated record.
CAGAAACCAUAUCGGAGAUGAUGAGCGUUACACCAAAGCCUGUGAAUCUGGCAUGGAUUAUGUUUAUAAAGUCAAAGUGGUAGGGAUGGAUCUGAAAAAAGAAUCUGACAUCUAUGACUUGAAGGUGGAGGAGGUGCUAAAACAAGGCACUGAUAAGGAUGUUGAGGGGAAAGUGAGAAAAUUUCUGGCUCGUCCCAGUUGCAGAAAUUAUUUAGGACUGGUAAAAGACAAGUCGUACCUCAUCAUGGGCAAAUCUGUUGACCUGCCAUUGCUCG